UGGGGUGUAGCGCAGCUUGGUAGCGCGCAUGGUUAGGGACCAUGAGGUCACGAGUUCAAGUCUCGUCACUCCAACCA
Molecule: transfer RNA, 77 nt
Filed under: Clostridia bacterium
Lineage: Bacteria; Bacillati; Bacillota; Clostridia
Description: tRNA-Pro
Rfam family: tRNA
About the family: Transfer RNA (tRNA) molecules are approximately 80 nucleotides in length. Their secondary structure includes four short double-helical elements and three loops (D, anti-codon, and T loops).
Source: RNAcentral